CGAGACCUCAGGUCAGACGGGGCUACCCGCUGAGUUU
This 37-nucleotide ribosomal RNA is filed under the name Lonchocarpus monteviridis. Its description in RNAcentral is "partial 28S ribosomal RNA". Lineage: Eukaryota; Viridiplantae; Streptophyta; Magnoliopsida; Fabales; Fabaceae. The record is from RNAcentral.